Gallus gallus (chicken) is the source of this 1465-nucleotide long non-coding RNA. The record is from Ensembl. Lineage: Eukaryota; Metazoa; Chordata; Aves; Galliformes; Phasianidae.
AUUUAUAUGGACAUUUUCCUCAAGGAGUUUGUUUUCUUCAUAAUUCCAUUCUUCCCUAAGAGAAUAAAUCCCAUCUCGUUAAACAAGGCCAUAACACAACACAGUCAGAGAGCCUCUUUUCUUCCCCCAAAGCCCUUUGCAAAACAAAUAUGCAUCCUCUUGUGCAAUCCUGUGGGGUAGGGAAGGGGCACCAGAGGGCAGAUCUGAGAUGGAAACCUCUGAUCAGCAUCGAUUGAUCCCUGAACCUCACCCAGAAUUUUGUAACAACUUCACACAAAUAGGAACUGGCACUUGUGCCAAAAGCAGCCUCCUCCACUCCCAGCUGCUUGCACCCUCCCUGGUGCUGGCACAGAGAUUUGAGUGGCUUGCAUAAAUGAGAAAGAAUGAGCUGCUCUGAAUUAAAAUUAAUUCAGCACAUGCACAGGGAAAGCUAAUUUUUAACAGAGGGAAGCCAUGCAUCCACCUCUCCCACAACACCCCAUGUUGGGAACAAAUGAGCUGAAAGCAGCGUUUUGCCAAUCCGUGCCAAAAUACCACUCCCAUAACACCCAGCCUUGGAAACAAAUGAGCUGAAAGCAGCAUUUUACCAACCUAUACCAAAAUACAUCACUAGAAAAGCACUCUGUAAGGAAGCAUUACCUAUUCAUCGACCCCUGUUACAAACAGCGCAUCUGAAAGCUGCAGGAAUUCACAGCACUCGUUCUUUGUUCGUAACACUAUGCUUGUAUGACAUUUGUUUGUAAGUCUAAUUUAAUUAAAAAAACAGUAAAAUGCAAGUGUGGGUUUUUGGCGCUGGGCUGGCAGGGUGUCUGCGUGAAAAUGCCCCAGGGAGGGUGGCACAUUUAAGAGAAAUUAAAUUGUCUCUUUCCGCCCAGAAUAAACAUGGUGCUAAUCCCUCUAAUGGCCCUAAACAUCACUAGAACUGCGGAUCCAGCGACAAGUGUGCAAUAGGACCCAAUUAAGCUGCUCACACAUUUGAAAUCAUGGUCUCAUCGUGGUUUAGUCUGGAGUCUCUCAGUGGCUAAACGUGCUGAGACAAGCGAAAACACGAAACUUCAUUAAGCGCUGCACCAGCAGAUUGCUGGGACCUGACGACAAGGGUGAGUGGGAGGCAUCGACAUUUCUGCCACCUCCUCCCAGUUUCCAAAGGCAUAGGGAUCUCCAGGGAACCCUGGAUCCUCCAGCAUAGCCUGGAAUCCAUUAACAGGAACAUCCUGCAUAGGAAAGUGGUGUAAUUUUCCUCUGUGGGGUACCUGUGGGUCUCAGAUGGAGCACUGCAUCGAGUCUUGAAGUGGAAAAAGACCAGGAGCUGAUGCAAAGCAUCAGGAGGAGGAGUGCCAUGGGCCAAAUAGCAGCAGAAGAAGUAAGCACAGUUCCCAUUAGAGACAGUUCCAACAGCACCGUUGUACGAGACAGUAGUGAGAACUAACUUGUGUCCGAGGAAGAAGGAAAGCAUCAGGGAAAA